This 253-nucleotide ribosomal RNA is filed under the name uncultured bacterium. RNAcentral describes it as "partial 16S ribosomal RNA". It matches the Rfam family "Bacterial small subunit ribosomal RNA", at positions 524 to 776 of the family's 1533-position model. The record is from RNAcentral.
UACGUAGGGUGCGAGCGUUGUCCGGAAUUAUUGGGCGUAAAGGGCUCGUAGGCGGUCUGUUGCGUCAGGAGUGAAAACUCGGGGCUUAACCCCGAGCCUGCUUCUGAUACGGGCAGACUAGAGGUAUGCAGGGGAGAACGGAAUUCCUGGUGUAGCAGUGAAAUGCGCAGAUAUCAGGAGGAACACCGGUGGCGAAGGCGGUUCUCUGGGCAUUACCUGACGCUGAGGAGCGAAAGUGUGGGGAGCGAACAGG